This 496-nucleotide ribosomal RNA is filed under the name uncultured bacterium. RNAcentral describes it as "partial 16S ribosomal RNA". It matches the Rfam family "Bacterial small subunit ribosomal RNA", at positions 29 to 507 of the family's 1533-position model. The record is from RNAcentral.
ACGAACGCUGGCGGCGUGCCUAAUACAUGCAAGUAGAACGCUGAAGAGAGGAGCUUGCUCUUCUUGGAUGAGUUGCGAACGGGUGAGUAACGCGUAGGUAACCUGCCUUGUAGCGGGGGAUAACUAUUGGAAACGAUAGCUAAUACCGCAUAACAAUGGAUGACCCAUGUCAUUUAUUUGAAAGGGGCAAAUGCUCCACUACAAGAUGGACCUGCGUUGUAUUAGCUAGUAGGUGAGGUAACGGCUCACCUAGGCGACGAUACAUAGCCGACCUGAGAGGGUGAUCGGCCACACUGGGACUGAGACACGGCCCAGACUCCUACGGGAGGCAGCAGUAGGGAAUCUUCGGCAAUGGGGGCAACCCUGACCGAGCAACGCCGCGUGAGUGAAGAAGGUUUACGGAUCGUAAAGCUCUGUUGUAAGUCAAGAACGAGUGUGAGAGUGGAAAGUUCACACUGUGACGGUAGCUUACCAGAAAGGGACGGCUAACUACGUG